Molecule: ribosomal RNA, 468 nt
Filed under: uncultured bacterium
Lineage: Bacteria
Description: partial 16S ribosomal RNA
Rfam family: Bacterial small subunit ribosomal RNA
Source: RNAcentral
GACGAACGCUGGCGGCGUGCUUAACACAUGCAAGUCGAACGGAAAGGCCCUGCUUUUGUUGGGUGCUCGAGUGGCGAACGGGUGAGUAACACGUGAGUAACCUGCCUUUGACUUUGGGAUAACUUCAGGAAACUGGGGCUAAUACCCGAUAGGAUCUCCUGCUGCAUGGUGUGGGUUGGAAAGUUUCGGCGGUUGGGGAUGGACUCGCUGCUUAUCAGCUUGUUGGUGGGGUAGUGGCUUACCAAGGCUUUGACGGGUAGCCGGCCUGAGAGGGUGACCGGCCACAUUGGGACUGAGAUACGGCCCAGACUCCUACGGGAGGCAGCAGUGGGGAAUAUUGCACAAUGGGCGGAAGCCUGAUGCAGAAACGCCGCGUGCGGGAUGACGGCCUUCGGGUUAUAAACAGCUUUCGCCUGUGACGAAGAGUGAGUGACGGUAAUGGGUAAAGAAGCACCGGCUAACUACGUG